UACGGAGGGUGCAAGCGUUAAUCGGAAUUACUGGGCGUAAAGCGUGCGCAGGCGGCUUUGCAAGACAGAUGUGAAAUCCCCGGGCUUAACAUGGGAACUGCAUUUGUGACUGCAUGGCUGGAGUGCGGCAGAGGGGGAUGGAAUUCCGCGUGUAGCAGUGAAAUGCGUAGAUAUGCGGAGGAACACCGAUGGCGAAGGCAAUCCCCUGGGCCUGCACUGACGCUCAUGCACGAAAGCGUGGGGAGCAAACAGG
Molecule: ribosomal RNA, 253 nt
Filed under: uncultured bacterium
Lineage: Bacteria
Description: partial 16S ribosomal RNA
Rfam family: Bacterial small subunit ribosomal RNA
Source: RNAcentral